GUGACUAUAGUUUACAAAAAACAUCAGACUGUGAAUCUGACAACAGGAUUUUAACCUCCUUACUCACC
This 68-nucleotide transfer RNA is filed under the name Mus famulus (servant mouse). RNAcentral's name for it is "tRNA-His". It matches the Rfam family "tRNA". Rfam says of the family: Transfer RNA (tRNA) molecules are approximately 80 nucleotides in length. Their secondary structure includes four short double-helical elements and three loops (D, anti-codon, and T loops). The record is from RNAcentral. Lineage: Eukaryota; Metazoa; Chordata; Mammalia; Rodentia; Muridae.